RNAcentral lists this ribosomal RNA (310 nucleotides) under Chlorella sp. KCTC AG10278. RNAcentral describes it as "SSU rRNA". It matches the Rfam family "Eukaryotic small subunit ribosomal RNA", at positions 626 to 944 of the family's 1831-position model. Lineage: Eukaryota; Viridiplantae; Chlorophyta; Trebouxiophyceae; Chlorellales; Chlorellaceae. The record is from RNAcentral.
GCUCGUAGUUGGAUUUCGGGUGGGUUCUAGCGGUCCGCCUAUGGUGAGUACUGCUAUGGCCUUCCUUUCUGUCGGGGACGGGCUUCUGGGCUUCACUGUCCGGGACUCGGAGUCGACGUGGUUACUUUGAGUAAAUUAGAGUGUUCAAAGCAGGCUUACGCCAGAAUACUUUAGCAUGGAAUAACACGAUAGGACUCUGGCCUAUCUUGUUGGUCUGUAGGACCGGAGUAAUGAUUAAGAGGGACAGUCGGGGGCAUUCGUAUUUCAUUGUCAGAGGUGAAAUUCUGGGAUUUAUGAAAGACGAACUACU